AAACUUAAUAGUUACAACUUUCAACAACGGAUCUCUUGGUUCUGGCAUCGAUGAAGAACGCAGCGAAAUGCGAUAAGUAGUGUGAAUUGCAGAAUUCAGUGAAUCAUCGAAUCUUUGAACGCACAUUGCGCCCCUUGGUAUUCCAUGGGGCAUGCCUGUUCG
Molecule: ribosomal RNA, 162 nt
Filed under: Phoma sp. MA 4621
Lineage: Eukaryota; Fungi; Ascomycota; Dothideomycetes; Pleosporales; Didymellaceae
Also listed under: 1 other name
Description: 5.8S ribosomal RNA
Rfam family: 5.8S ribosomal RNA
About the family: 5.8S ribosomal RNA (5.8S rRNA) is a component of the large subunit of the eukaryotic ribosome. It is transcribed by RNA polymerase I as part of the 45S precursor that also contains 18S and 28S rRNA. Functionally, it is thought that 5.8S rRNA may be involved in ribosome translocation.
Source: RNAcentral